This is a long non-coding RNA of Chenopodium quinoa (quinoa), 617 nucleotides long. RefSeq lists it as uncharacterized. The record is from RefSeq and is a predicted model, not a curated record. The transcript has 2 exons. Lineage: Eukaryota; Viridiplantae; Streptophyta; Magnoliopsida; Caryophyllales; Amaranthaceae.
UGCAGGUCAGGUAAUGGGUCGCGUUCUAAGUGUAGCGGGUACCCGUUAUUUACCCGUUUUUUUUUUUUUUACUUUUUUUUUUUCUGGAAACAUUUUACUCCACUAGGGUUACUUGUUAUUGGGCUUUUGUGAGUUAGUGUCUUCGUGAAUAGCAGUAGCCGCUAUUCUUCUCUCCUCAGUUCCUCACCCUUCUUCUCUCUCCUCUUUCCUCUCCCCUCUCCCCUCUCCCACCUCUCAACACUCACUCUCAAAUCCCCGGCGACACCACACGCACAUCACCUCACUCCAGGCGAGCACUAUACUCACUCUCAAGCGACCACCGCCCUCACUCUCAGGCGACCACCGCACGCACCGCACCUUACUCACCGUUAGCCUCGUCAUCAGGGAAUAAAGACUUGGUUUAAGAGAAAACAACAAUUAUCAUUGAUGAAAGUCAUGAGACAAUUGAAGCUUCGGCUCCUGAUUUAGUUUGAUUUGUGGCUCUGAGAUAUUGUUUAGACUUUGUAAUUUAUUUGGUUUUUUUGUUGUUUUAAUUUGAUGUAAACUCUCUGAUUUGAAACACACCGCAAAAUAAACACAUAAUUUUUUUAAUUUUUUUUAUUAUAAUUAAAACAGUA